This 443-nucleotide ribosomal RNA is filed under the name uncultured bacterium. Its description in RNAcentral is "partial 16S ribosomal RNA". It matches the Rfam family "Bacterial small subunit ribosomal RNA", at positions 338 to 778 of the family's 1533-position model. The record is from RNAcentral.
CCUACGGGUGGCAGCAGUGAGGAAUAUUGGUCAAUGGACGCAAGUCUGAACCAGCCAUGCCGCGUGCAGGAAGACGGCUCUAUGAGUGGUAAACUGCGUUUGUACGAGGGUAAACGCAGAUACGCGUAUCUGUCUGAAAGUAUCGUACGAAUAAGGAUCGGCUAACUCCGUGCCAGCAGCCGCGGUAAUACGGAGGAUUCAAGCGUUAUCCGGAUUUAUUGGGUUUAAAGGGUGCGUAGGCGGGCGGAUAAGUUAGAGGUGAAAUCCCGAGGCUCAACUUCGGAAUUGCCUCUGAUACUGUUCGGCUAGGGAGUAGUUGCGGUAGGCGGAAUGUAUGGUGUGGCGGUGAAAUGCUUAGAGAUCAUACAGAACACCGAUUGCGAGGGCAGCUUACCAAGCUACUUCUGACGUUGAGGCACGAAGGCGUGGGAGGCAAACGGGCU